This 590-nucleotide ribosomal RNA is filed under the name uncultured bacterium. RNAcentral's name for it is "bacterial SSU rRNA". It matches the Rfam family "Bacterial small subunit ribosomal RNA", at positions 338 to 945 of the family's 1533-position model. The record is from RNAcentral.
CCUACGGGAGGCAGCAGUGGGGAAUCCUGCGCAAUGGGCGAAAGCCUGACGCAGCAACGCCGCGUGCGGGAAGAAGGCUUUCGGGCUGUAAACCGCUUUCAGCAGGAACGAAAAUGACGGUACCUGCAGAAGAAGGAGCGGCCAACUAUGUGCCAGCAGCCGCGGUGAUACAUAGGCUUCAAGCGUUGUCCGGAUUUAUUGGGCGUAAAGAGUUCGUAGGCGGUCGAGUAAGUCGGGUGUGAAAAUUCUGGGCUCAACCCAGAGACGCCACCCGAUACUGCUUGACUUGAGUUCGAUAGGGGAGUGGGGAAUUCCUAGUGUAGCGGUGAAAUGCGCAGAUAUUAGGAGGAACACCGGUGGCGAAGGCGCCACUCUGGAUCGAUACUGACGCUGAGGAACGAAAGCAUGGGUAGCAAACAGGAUUAGAUACCCUGGUAGUCCAUGCCGUAAACGGUGGGCACUAGGUGUGGGUUUCUAUUAACGAAAUCCGCGCCGUCGCUAACGCAUUAAGUGCCCCGCCUGGGGAGUACGGUCGCAAGACUAAAACUCAAANANAUGCGCGNGAGAGNGCGAGACGACGACGAGGAGAG